RNAcentral lists this small RNA (1086 nucleotides) under Rattus norvegicus (Norway rat). RNAcentral's name for it is "uncharacterized LOC102552232". Lineage: Eukaryota; Metazoa; Chordata; Mammalia; Rodentia; Muridae. The record is from RNAcentral.
CAUUAUAGUAAGUUACUAACAUGCCCUCUCUCCAUCUCUCUGAUGCAGGAUUUUAUACACAAAGAGAAUGCUGAGAAAUAGCAACAGCUAACCUUGUUUUUGUCUGUACUCUGCUCUCUAUACAAAUGGACAUACAUAUCCACGAUAUCUUUCGAUCUGUAAAGAUGGAGGAAUUUUCCUGAUUUACCUAAGUGAAGAAGUAGGCCUUUAAGGCUCAUGUCAGCAUUUCAGGAGUGAUAAAUAAGCUGGUUUGCAGUACUUCAUGCAUGCAUUUUAAUGAUUAGAAGGGACUAUAAUUCUUCCUAGCCUUCCCCAAGUUCCACAGGAGUGAAGUCAUGGGCAUGAGACUACAUUAUCGGGUUCUUGGGAUCUCAUUUAAAGUUUUGAAUAUACACAUAGAGAUUGCAACAUAACAAGGGAACUUCCUUAAAAGAUUCUGAACUGGGGCCUUUUCUUCACACUGCACUGCUUCGUCCAGCAUUGCUACAAGGGGAGCUAUCUCGUCUUACUGCAACUUAAUAUGCCACAUUUGGUUGGUAGCCACUAGUGCCUACCAUUUUCUGCAGUGAAACAGAGGACAGGCCUCUGCUGACCUGUACUACAAGAACUACAAAAACUGAACAGAACUGGACAGAACUGAAUAAAAAGGAAGAGAACUCCAAGAAAUUGACAGAACUCAACUGCAUUCUACUGAACUGCACUGAACUCAACUGACUGAACUCAUCUGACCUCUGCUGCAUUGCAUAAAUUCAGCUGAAAUGCACCUUCUAAACUGCUCUCCACUCCAACUCACUCUGCAUUACUCUCCUAAGUGGCCUCUCCUUCCUGUGACCUUAUGAGAGUUGAGCAUAUCCGAUCUCUGACUCAUUUUAUCAAUUUUUUCUCUUAUCUGUCACAUUGUCUCUUCCUCCUUUAUAUACAACUUUCUAAUAUGGCUUCUCCCUUUCACAAACUAACCAUACCUAAAUUGUUUGGGAUUGAAUGUGUGUAGUAAGGGCAUGUCUGCAUUCCAUCCAGAGGGAACAAACGUGCAUCUGUGUUCCCGCCAUCACACAGACCUAGUUUUUUGGAUGUGAUCUCAUGCCA